AACUUAUAAUGUAGAUUUAAAUAAUAAUCUAAAAAGGUACAGCUUUUUAGAUAUGGAAUACAAUCCCCAUUAGAGAGUAAAUCACAACUAAGCCACAAUAGUUGGCCUAAAAGCAGCCAUCAACUAAGAAAGCGUUCAAGCUCAACAGUAUAACUACUUAAUUCCAUCUUAAAGAUAAAACUCCUAAUCCAAGACUGGAUUAUUCUAUUCAUAAAUAGAAGCAACACUGCUGGUAUGAGUAACAAGAAAUAUUUCUCCCCGCACACGUGUAUAUCAGAGCGAAUAAGUCACUGAUAGUUACCAAAAUUAAAUAUUUACCUACUACUAGAUCUUUGAUAUUAAUUGUUAAUCCAACACAGGAGUGCGAAUUAAGGAAAGAUUAAAAGAAGUAAAAGGAACUCGGCAAACACAAACCUCGCCUGUUUACCAAAAACAUCACCUCUAGCAUAAAAAGUAUUAGAGGCACUGCCUGCCCAGUGACUUCAGUUCAACGGCCGCGGUAUCCUGACCGUGCAAAGGUAGCAUAAUCACUUGUUCCCUAAAUAGGGACUUGUAUGAACGGCUCCACGAGGGUUUAACUGUCUCUUACUUCAAAUCAGUGAAAUUGACAUUCCCGUGAAGAGGCGGGAAUAAAAAAAUAAGACGAGAAGACCCUAUGGAGCUUUAAUUAACUAACUCACACUACUCGCAACUAAUAUCCUCCACAGAGGACAAAAUUAAUUUAACUGAGUUAGAAAUUUGGGUUGGGGUGACCUCGGAAUAAAAAUUAACCUCCGAGAAGAUCAAUUUAGACCCACAAGUCAAAAUUACAUAAUUAUACACUGAUCCGUCAACGACGAUCAACGAAACAAGUUACCCUAGGGAUAACAGCGCAAUCCUAUUUAAGAGUCCAUAUCGACAAUUAGGGUUUACGACCUCGAUGUUGGAUCAGGACAUCCCAAUGGUGCAGCAGCUAUUAAUGUGUUCGUUU
This 970-nucleotide ribosomal RNA is filed under the name Pipistrellus pipistrellus (common pipistrelle). Its description in RNAcentral is "partial 16S ribosomal RNA". It matches the Rfam family "Bacterial large subunit ribosomal RNA", at positions 952 to 2578 of the family's 2925-position model. Lineage: Eukaryota; Metazoa; Chordata; Mammalia; Chiroptera; Vespertilionidae. The record is from RNAcentral.